AGCUCUGAAAGCGUAUACUAGAGUUGUUGCGGUUAAAAAGCUCGUAGUUGGGAGAAGGAGACAUUGAGAAAAAUAGAGUGUUUAAGGGUGAAGUGGGAGAGCACAGGACGUCCCGUCUCGUUUUUAUACGAGAUGGAGAGAAUAGAAACAAUAGAGGAUAUUAGUAUUUUAUAGUUAGAGGUGAAAUUCUAUGAUUUAUGAAAGACUAACAGGGGCGAAAGCAUUUAUCUCUUGUAUGUUUA
RNAcentral lists this ribosomal RNA (242 nucleotides) under uncultured eukaryote. RNAcentral's name for it is "partial small subunit ribosomal RNA". It matches the Rfam family "Eukaryotic small subunit ribosomal RNA", at positions 587 to 972 of the family's 1831-position model. The record is from RNAcentral.